UUAGGAGCACGUCAUAUUAGAAUCACAUACUACAUUCACAUAUGAAUAUACGAUUAUUUCAUUUCAAAUCUAAUUAGUAGGUGGUAAUUGUGAAUAUUUUCAGUUUGACAAGAAACAGAGGAAAAUGUUUGUCUACAGAUUACUUAGAGAAGAUGAAAAUUACACAUUAGGCCUGUCUGCAAAAGAUCAUGCAUCUCCUGUAUCUGUCUUUCAGCAUGUUCUAAACGGAAGUUGGGGAAGCAUGUCGAAAUAUAUCUCAACAUGUGGAGAUCGAAAUGUAUUACAAAAUUGUUUUGUGUUAAAUUCAGUCAAGCCUGGACAAGUAGUGAUGAUAAAUACAAAUAUGCUUCAACCAAAUCAAAUUAUUGAUUUACGGCAACAGUUUCAACGGGAUCCGUUUAUACCUCCCUUUGCUGAUCAAGAGUCCAAAAACAAAUUCAAUAAUUUUGCAAACAAAUUCCAAGAAGUUCUUUUGGAAGGUUACAUUCCAUCGAUUUGUAUCCAGCCUGCUUAGCAGUUAUAAUCAUCUGCAGUUUUCAUACUUAUAAAAAUAUUACUCUUUACAUUCAUAACUGUACAGAAAUUGUUAACUGUCACAUAUUUAUGAGUAUUAUUUAAUACAUACAUGUGUAUGACGUGAUCUAUUGCAACUUUCAUUUGGACCUCGGUUUUCAUUACUUCUCAGUAACCAUUAGCUUUCAAAGUGUGAUUCACAAUUGACACCACUCAUUCAUUACUAAAACAGUGAGAAUUGCAAAUAAACUGUGUAUUUUUGCAUAUGAUGCCUUUCAUAAUGAAAUGAAUUAUGUGAUUUGACUGUAUGACUACUUAUUGCGUAUAUUGUGUCUAUUCCAGAAUCAAUUUAAUUGAUUUAGUCAUACAUUGAAAGAGAGUUGAUGCAGAUUUGCUUCGCUUUAUUUAUGUUAUUAUUGCUUUUUAUUUGGGAAAAGUUUUGUAAGCUCAUUUACAAUAUCACAAGACAACACAUAGGUUUCCAUCAGAGUCAACAGUGCUAGUUUUCGUGAAAAAGGAGGCAACGCUUUUGGAAUUUGUGAUAUCUUAUUAAUUUUUGUAUAUUGUGUAUUGAUUAAAACUAUCGAGCUUUUUGGGGCUUUAGUAUACAAGGAUUUAAUAAAAAUAAUAACUUUACAUCAAAAGUAAUUAAAAUUUUGCUGUACAUGACAAAAAAUGACAAAAUUACAAAAAGUUUGUUUGAGCAAUUUUGCAAGAUACUUGUAUUAAUAUGUUUUUUAAUGAUUUAAUACUACAGUGAUUUGUGCAUUAUGAAGCCAGUAUAUAAACAGUUUGUGCUACCGUAAAUAUUUUAAAUUCAAAUUUAUGUAUUUUUGUUACUUUAAAUUGUUAGAAAUGUUCUUCAAUUGACGCCUGAUGUUGUGCGUGAAGAAACGACCGAAAACGUCUCAUGCAAAAUUCCACACAUUGUUCAAAUUAAUUUACUUAACAAAUAAAUAGUCUAUAAAAUAAUUUGCUCGCAUCUUAGUUUCAAACUUAUCACGAAAUAUUAAUGUUGACAAAUAAACCAAAAAAAUUAAACCAUUGUUAUAGAAACCCUGCCGACCAGAUGUGUACAAAUUACAAUAAUUCUAUUCUCAACAUGUGUAAAAUCAAUUUCUAUUAUCUAUAUCUAUAUCUGAGAAACGGACAAAGCUAUAAACACUUAACCGUAACCAAUGAAUCAUACAAUGAGGUAAAGAUCAGAUCAACCUUGCUAAUCGGACAGGAAAACCUAUCAAUCAUUCUAUAAAUCAAAAAACGUUGAUAUAUUGCUUAUAUAAUCUUUGAAAAGGACCUUACACGAAAACUAAACCUUGGUCAAUAAACCAUGAAAUAAAAUCAAGGUAAGACGAUUAACGAAGUAAUAAUUCAAAAAUUCCAAGAUAAAUGAUAUACUUUUUUAAGAAGUAACUGAACUAUGCAAAUACGGUCACGGACACCAGAAAUCUUAUAGAUGGAAACUACAGAUCGUUACGUGGUCUUUAUGAGAACAAAACUUAUCAGAAUUUUGUCAUAUAAUGUUUUCGUAUUCUACUAUUUUUUAAACAAACUUCAAAAGCAUCCUCGACUUAUUUUAUUUUAAUAUGAUUGUUUAAGAAUUCUUAUUUAUAUUAUAAUAUAUCAAUUUUUCAUGUUUUAAAAAUCCAAAACUAUUUAAUUUAUAACUUCCAUACUAUUUUAUACACACAUUUUGUCGUCUGUAUAUUUAAUUUUUAUGUGAAACUAAUUUUUGUGAUAUUAUUUAUUAACUAGAUUAAUAUUUAUUUCUGUUGUCUGUUUCCUAUGAUUUGUAAAAUCUGUGUUUUUAAAAAUAAACUAUUGAAUUUAA
Mytilus californianus (California mussel) is the source of this 2344-nucleotide long non-coding RNA. RefSeq lists it as uncharacterized. The transcript is spliced from 2 exons. The record is from RefSeq and is a predicted model, not a curated record. Lineage: Eukaryota; Metazoa; Mollusca; Bivalvia; Mytilida; Mytilidae.